Molecule: ribosomal RNA, 491 nt
Filed under: uncultured Prevotella sp.
Lineage: Bacteria; Pseudomonadati; Bacteroidota; Bacteroidia; Bacteroidales; Prevotellaceae
Description: bacterial SSU rRNA
Rfam family: Bacterial small subunit ribosomal RNA
Source: RNAcentral
GAUGAACGCUAGCUACAGGCUUAACGCAUGCAAGUCGAGGGGCAGCGGGUUGAAAGCUUGCUUUCAAUGCCGGCGACCGGCGCACGGGUGCGUAACGCGUAUCAAACCUGCCUCAUACUCGGGGAUAGCCUUGCGAAAGUAAGAUUAAUACCCGAUGUUAUUAGUCCAUCGCAUGGUGGACUAAUCAAAGAUUUAUCGGUAUGAGAUGGUGAUGCGUCCGAUUAGGUAGUAGGCGGGGUAACGGCCCACCUAGCCUUCGAUCGGUAGGGGUUCUGAGAGGAAGGUCCCCCACACUGGAACUGAGACACGGUCCAGACUCCUACGGGAGGCAGCAGUGAGGAAUAUUGGUCAAUGGACGGAAGUCUGAACCAGCCAAGUAGCGUGCAGGAUGACGGCCCUCCGGGUUGUAAACUGCUUUUAGUUGGGAAUAAAAAAAGGGACGUGUCCCUUAUUGUAUGUACCUUCAGAAAAAGGACCGGCUAAUUCCGUGC